UACGAAGGGUGCAAGCGUUACUCGGAAUUACUGGGCGUAAAGCGUGCGUAGGCGGUUCGUUAAGUCUGAUGUGAAAGCCCUGGGCUCAACCUGGGAAUGGCAUUGGAAACUGGCGAUCUAGAGUCCGGAAGAGGAGAGUGGAAUUCCCGGUGUAGCGGUGAAAUGCGCAGAUAUCGGGAAGAACACCUGUGGCGAAGGCAGCUCUCUGGGACGGUACUGACGCUGAGACGCGAAAGCGUGGGGAGCGAACAGG
RNAcentral lists this ribosomal RNA (253 nucleotides) under uncultured bacterium. RNAcentral's name for it is "partial 16S ribosomal RNA". It matches the Rfam family "Bacterial small subunit ribosomal RNA", at positions 524 to 776 of the family's 1533-position model. The record is from RNAcentral.